ACAAAUUAGGCCUAAGCCUGAUGUCGAUCUGGGGUCUCGUCUGCUCGAGCCUCCUCACGUCCUGUUCCAAAUAAAUAUUAAUUUCCCAACCAAUAAUCCAAUAUUUAAUCAAAAUAGGCAAAAUUACCCGAGAGCCAUAAUUACGCUCAUUAUUGCCUAACUUCGAUAUUCUUACAUCGGAACGAUCCGAACUUAAAUAUCAUACUCCACAGUCGUAAAUAUAACCUCCCCAAAAUACGACUUAAAUCCUACGGCCGGAUUCUACAUUAAUUAACCGCCAAAAAUACCAAACUUCGGAAAUUCACAAACCUAUCCAAAUCUCAUCCAAAAAUUCCAUAAAUCACACCAAUAUACUCCUCUUAAUAUUCCACAUUUAAAACCAUAAAAAUCUCCUAACCGGCGGCGGCGCCGCCGGCAGCGGCGGCCGGCAGCCGUUUUCCGGCGACCUGCAAAUGCUACCAAAUUUUAACAGAAUCUUCCUCUCAAUCUCCUCUACAACUUUCAUGACUAACACAUCACCCAAUUCCAAGCCUAACUAGGCUAAUCGAACGAAAACAACUUAAACACCAUAAAACUUCCACCUCAAAUUUCUCCUUACCUAGCUCAAGAGGGAGGGAGCUGUUUGGAGGGGUUGUUGCAUGGGAGGAGGGCUACAAAACCGUACCAAGCUUGCCCGGAUUGGUGGCCGGAGGAGGAAGUUCCGGCGAGAAAACCAAUUCGGCAGUCGGAGCUUUCGGGUGGCACCGCUCUCUCACGGCGGAGCUAGGGCUCCUCUCACCGGUCUAGAAAUGUUGCUGGGAGGGAGACCGACCGAACGGGACCGGUCCGGCGGCGAACGGAGGUCGGACGGCGGCGGGAGGACAACCGGAAAACCGGGCAGCGGAAGGCUCGGGGAGAGGAAAAGAAAAGAGGGAAGAAGAGAAAGGGAGGAGGAAAAAGAAAAUGGGUUGGGCCUCCACCGGUCCAACCUAUAUCAACCCACUUCCAAAAAAUAAAAACACCCCGAAAAAAUAAUACCCGAAUAAAAAUUACCUUUUACUAGCUAAAAUUUACCAUUUUUACCGUCGUCGUAUUUUCCUCAUACUAAUAAUCCUCCGCACAUAAUCGUCCCCGAAACCCCUCUAGGGACCAAUUAAACUAUUUACUUAAUGAUCGAGACGGUAAAAUUCUUAUUAUAAUCAGGCUAGUAAAUAAGGUAAAAAUAUAAGGGUCGGGAUGUGACAGUUUCAAACUUGGUGCUAUACCAGGAUUUUAAUAACCUAAUAGCAGUGGAACUUGAUGUCAUACGCAAAUAGGUUCUUGAGGGUAAUUUAUAGAUUCUUUUAAUUGGUUGAUUCCUUUUAGAACACAAUAUGAAAAUAUGUUCCUAAUGUUGCUUUGUUAAACUCAUAAGGUUUGAUAGUGGAUACUCAUAGAUAUAAGAUUCAUUUCAAACAUUGUUCAAGAUAUCUUCUUACAUUUACUGAACAGACACACACUCUCUCUCUCUCUC
This 1492-nucleotide long non-coding RNA is filed under the name Fragaria vesca (wild strawberry). RNAcentral describes it as "long non-coding RNA (FVES_LNC004236)". The record is from RNAcentral. Lineage: Eukaryota; Viridiplantae; Streptophyta; Magnoliopsida; Rosales; Rosaceae.